Molecule: long non-coding RNA, 2271 nt
Organism: Dermacentor andersoni
Lineage: Eukaryota; Metazoa; Arthropoda; Arachnida; Ixodida; Ixodidae
Source: RefSeq, a predicted model, not a curated record
UGAUGCAGUCAAAAUUUCUGUUGCAGACAUGCAAUAAUGAGGAUGGCACCAGGAUAAAGAAACACACUCCAUGCACUAAACAGAAGCUGCUGCCCGCUACAAGGCCAUUGUGUGGACUUUGGCUGCUACUACAAGAGUCUGUGCCAAGCACAUCUUGGUCAUCAUGGGAGCCCCCAUCUACACCAACAGGAAGGGGCUGGAGCCGAAUUCGCGAGGCUUUACGCCACGAACAAAGAAGCGCAUGCAGAGGAAUUUGGAUGAGAUAUAACGUCUGCGGACGACUGUGUCAAGAGUGAAAAGAGCCUCCGCCAUCAUUCCACCAACACGGAUAUUGGCCAAGUCAUCCAGGCACCUUGCCUCCAGCCGGCGAAAAUGGACAGACAAGGUUCAACGCACAUGCUUUGGAGUUACUGCAAACAUUCACCGGACAUCAAUGCACACAUUCGCUGCUACCACGUUCUACCUAGGUGGUUUGUGUGAAAAUUGGUGCACGAGGACUGAUCGGCAUCCGAAUGGUGUACUGCUGCAUGCCCUUUUGCUGCUUCCGCUCUGGGAAAUGCCCAGGCGUGUCAUUUCAUCAGUUUCCAAGUGACGGAGACUUUAUUUAUUUUCAUACUCUCAGGACCAGAGGCCAUUACAGAGAGGAGUGUUCUAACAAUAAAUUCUUAAUCUCAACUUUAAAGGCGGCAGGGUCUUCGAUUCCAGCGAUGGAAGCGGGAAGGUGGUCCCAGUCACUGCUUGUUUGUUAUAAAAAAAGACGCAUGGCAAGUGUUAGUGCGACAUAAAGGAAUCUUAACCUUGAGUUCAUGAUCGAUCUGUGAGGACACGUAAUCUGUAGGGAGGAAAAGCUCGUUUUUAAGUGUUGGUUUAGCGUAAAAAAUUUUGUGUAAAAAAUAAAGGUUUAAGCGGAAGCACUUGCGGUGUGACCGAAGUGACAGUAGACCUAAAUUAGAUUUCAUUGAAGAGAGGCUGGCGUAGCAAACAUAAUUACAGAUAUCCCAUAUCGGGCAGCACGGUUCUGAAUUAACAGAUUCAAGGGCGGUGAUUAAUGCGGAGCUAGAUGGGUCGCAGAUAGAGCAAGUAUAUUCUAAUUUCCAUCUAAGCAGGGUUGUGUAUAAUUUAAUCUUUAUAUUGGAGGGAACGGAAGAAAAAUUACGCCAUAGAAAUCCUAGCAUGCGAUUAGUGUUGUUAAUUACAUGUUCAACGUGUAUAUUCCAAGAGAGGUUGUGAGUUAUAUGCACUCCAAGAUAGCGGUAACUAGUAACGCAAGUUAAAGAAGAGUUAUUAAGGGUAUGAGCAAAGUUAUAAUUAACUUUAUUGGGAUGCAUUACUGUCAUGGCCUUACAUUUUGAAGUAUUUAGUUUCAUAAGCCACUUGUUGCACCAGUUAGAAGUAGCGUCAAUGUCGGAUUGCAAAAUAGAAAUGUCCUGUUGGUUAUUACUUACACAAUAAAGCUCACAGUCAUCAGCAAAGAGUUUAAUUUUAGAGUUAAUCCCGACAGGUAAGUCGCUAAUAUUAAUAAGAAAUAGUAAUGGGCCCAAAACCACUCCUUGUGGUCCGCCUGAAGUAACAAGAACGGUAGGAGAUUCAUAAUCAUUAGCGUGAAUGUACUGUAAGCACUUAGUCGGAAAGCAUUGAAUCUAGCAGUCUAGAUAUUAGGGUCUAUAAUAAGCUUGCUGUUGAGCUUGCUCAGUUGUGCGCCAAAUGGAAAAAAAAAAAACAUAUUGCAAGGAAGGAUUGAACUAUCAACGAUAAGUCGCUGUCUACAGUCGUGUGUAUGCUACACUUUCUUUCGACCGACUACGCUCCAGAGUGCCGCAUUAAGAAACUUGCCUGGCGCUGUCCCCACGGUUUUCGAAGGCUGUCCGAUCUACCUGACGCCUCCCACAAAAAAAAAAAAAAGAAGAUACCUUGCAACGACCUUGCUGCUCGGGCUGUCCCUGUUCCAAAACAAACCAAGCGAAAAGCUGAGCCGCUUGAAUCGCUGCCUGUGGAAUGCAACCUGUCAGACUGCCUCUAUGAACGCACUAAAAGCAUCAGUACGCAAACUACAAACGAUGGCCAGAGAGCAAGCCAAUACCCCUCUGUGAUCUCAAAGUUUCACUCAAGUUUCAUAUCACCGUUCCAAAAGCCAGAAGCUACUAAAAAAGCUCGCAAUGGAAGAACAACACACCGUAUUCUAUCGCAAAAGCAAACAUCAUGCUUCGGUCGGGAGAAUCAUGGCAGACUCGCAGACCUUGGCGGCAGACGUGGAGUGUCCUUUUUGCCACA